UACGUAGGGGGCAAGCGUUGUCCGGAUUUAUUGGGCGUAAAGAGCGUGUAGGCGGCCAAGCAGGUCCGCUGUGAAAACUCGAGGCUCAACCUCGAGAGGUCGGUGGAAACCGUUUGGCUAGAGUCCGGAAGAGGAGAGUGGAAUUCCCGGUGUAGCGGUGAAAUGCGCAGAUAUCGGGAGGAACACCGGUGGCGAAGGCGGUUCUCUGGGCCUUACCUGACACUGAGGAGCGAAAGCGUGGGGAGCGAACAGG
RNAcentral lists this ribosomal RNA (253 nucleotides) under uncultured bacterium. Its description in RNAcentral is "partial 16S ribosomal RNA". It matches the Rfam family "Bacterial small subunit ribosomal RNA", at positions 524 to 776 of the family's 1533-position model. The record is from RNAcentral.